CGCGGCGGCUGACACCAGACUUGCCCACCCCUUAUUCUGCACCAUUUUUAGAGGUGCCAAAAGAUCUCCUUAACGGAAAUCACUCAGAGUAACCCUGUCAAGCUUUCGCCUAUUGCAGAGGUUUCGCGCCUGCUGCGCCCCAUAGG
Molecule: ribosomal RNA, 146 nt
Filed under: uncultured archaeon
Lineage: Archaea
Description: partial 16S ribosomal RNA
Source: RNAcentral